This 3924-nucleotide long non-coding RNA is filed under the name Brassica napus (rape). Its description in RNAcentral is "long non-coding RNA (BNAP_LNC000911)". Lineage: Eukaryota; Viridiplantae; Streptophyta; Magnoliopsida; Brassicales; Brassicaceae. The record is from RNAcentral.
AAAGAUACAUUAACUCUCAACAAUCCAAAUAUUUAGUUAGUGGAUAUACAAAAUUAAUAAUUUGCAUUGGACAAAAUUUAGAACUAUUGAGAUGCUCAUAGCGUAUAAAUUUAUAAUACAAUUUUGUCACAUUAAUCUGAAACAAUACAAACAUAGUAUAAAGAGAGUAAACGGAGGUGCUUUAUUAUAUCUCAAAUCCUCUUCAUUCAAACCAUAUUAAACGGAUAACCUAGAGCCGUUAUUGUUGGUGUUAUUAUCAUUAGUAUUGUAUUUAUCUUCGUUUUGGAUCGGAGGACACAUUGUUGCUGCUGCUUUCAUUUCUUUGUUCUUACCCCACAAGUACACGUAGAGACCCGUUACUACCACCACGGAUCCAAUUAUACUGUAAUCGAAGUAAGAAUUAUCGGAGAAACAUGUAAUUUGGUUUUGUCACGUCUUGUUCGUGUCAUCUACUGCACAUUUUGUACAUUACACUGAAACAUUUCUCUUAUCGGCAUACAGAUUCAACAUUAUAUUUUAGGAAAAAAACGUAGGUCGCGACCUGUAAUUGGCUUGGAUUUAGCGAUGUGGGAAAUAAACGAAUCUCUACAAUAGUAUAUUAAGGCAGAGAAUGAGUUUUACGCAGAUUUUAAUGCAAAAAAUGAAAUACAAAUUAUACAUUGUAAAUCCACAGACUAUAUUCUAAAUUUUAAACCUACAAACUAUAAUGUUCAAAGAGAACAAAAUAUGUCAUAUCUGGAUAUUGGUCAUGGAUUUUUUUUUUCUCCUGUGUUCACCUCACCGGUCAUGGAUUUAUAGUCACCGAUCUAUAGACCUUUUAACUCCUUUAUGUUGUUAAAUAAAUAUACUUUAACUUUCUCUCGCGUCUUUUACUUAUUUGUGUUUCAAUUUGUUUUAGGUCUAAACAAUUAUUCGUUUCAAUUUAGCAUCAUCGUUAAUUAGGUGACUCACCCUUGUGUCUUCGGAGGUUGCCCCCGUCAAGUUUCUUUGUAGUUCUGUGUUUCGAUCUUUUAGAGAUUCUUCAUCGGGUUGGAAUGUUGGAAGCUGUAAGAACCAUUAUUUUUAAGUUUAAAGACGCCUAUUUACUAAUAGGUUGUGGUACCAGACUCUCUUUUUUUUUAAAUAUACUGCUUUAUAGAUCUCGAUGUUCAGUUUGUUUUUGAGUCUAGGUCUUUCUAUGCUUUUGGUUUCAGAUUUUUGCCACCAUAAAUUUUGUUGUUUAGCUUCAAUUUCUUCAUUCCGUUACUUGUUUUCACUAUAAUCUAAAUAACAAAUUCGAAAAUCUAAUAUUAAUCUUAACAUUUUACAAAAAAAGAAGAAGACUAUUUGAACUAUAUAGCGCACUUUGUCCAACAACUUCAAUAUCUUUCAUAAAAAUAAAGGGAAUAAUUAGUUAAAGUUGUUUCUAUUUAUAGUACUCCGACUUUUUCUGUUAAAAUGAGUCAGGAUAUGAUAUGUACUUAGUGUAUUACCAUAAUAAAUUUAUCAUUUAUGUAUCAUAUUAUAAGGUCGGGUGGAAAUUUAUCAUAUUGUGAAUCAGUUCUUGUUGCACAGUGCACACCGAGAAUUUUGAUGUACAUUAACAUAUAAUCUCUCCGCUUCAUAAAUAUUGUUAUUAGCUUUUAUUUUGUUUCAAGAAUGCUAAAAAGACUAGUAACUAUUUGUAUACCCUACACACAAAAUGAGAAUUUUAUGGUCACUAAUUUUUAAUAUUUAAUAAACACAAAUGUCAUAAACAUUUUUUUUUGUAACACGACUUUCAUUAAUGAUUAAACAUUCGGACUACAUUUUGAAGAAGAGAUGAUCCUAGCUCUACGAACAUUACAAUAAAGCGAUACAUCAUAAAAAAUAGAUGUAGAGAUUGUAAAAAAAAUAGAUGUAGAGCAACCUCUAAGAUAAAAUGACAGUGAAUUCAGAGUAAAACUCGAAUGCGUCAAAAUAAAAUUUAUGGCGAAGCCGGAAAGUUAGAACUUAAUCACUUUGGAAUGUGACGUUAAUAGCUGCCAAUCCACACCUUGGGAUAUUGUUGACACGAGACCCUAAAUUAUUACAUUUCUACCAUAUUUUUGAAACCUUUAUAUAAAAUAUGUUUACAAUUUUCAGAACAUUAAAGCAGAACAUAUUAAAAAAAAACUAUUUUGUUUGGCAACAACCAAUACUCUUUCACUUAUUUGAUAAGAAAAUAUCUUAAAGUAUCAUUACACGUCAAUUUGAUGAGUUUCAGUAUUAUUUGCAGCUUUCCACACUAUUUUCAAAAUGUAAAAUGCAUUUCGGUUAUAUAGAUAUUUACAGAAAUUAUUUUAUGUUUCUUUACAUGCCCAACACUUUUAUUUAAACGAGAAAUCUAAUUCAAAACCAGUUGAAAAAGAAAGGGCCGUUUACUCCAAAAUUUAAACAAAAUAGAAUUAUUACGCCUCUCCGAAUUAAGUCGGACGUAGUUCCUAACCUACGCAAGAACAAGUAAGCCAAUUAAGCAGUUUUUUGCUCAAACCAGGAUGAUGUGCCUACUAGAUUGCUAGAAUACAACAAAAUCCCUCUGUCCGAUUCAAUGGAUGGGGCAGGAUUAAGGAAAUAAAUAUCGGACGAAGAUGAUUGCCAGUAAAUUAAAUAUGUAUUUUCGUAAAAGUGUUUCCAAUGUAAAAUUUUUUUUUUUUUUUCUAAAAUGGAGUAAAAGUGAAAAUAGAAUAAAAUUGCUCCAAGUUUAUUCCAUUUUCUACUUCAUAAUGGAAUGAUGAACAAAUAAAAAAAUAAAUUACUCUAUUUAUAGAAUAAAUAUCAUUAUAGAGUGAGAUAUGAAGUUGGAUUGGAACAUUUCUUAUUGGAUAUUCACUUUUACUCAAUUUUACACGAGAAAAUGGAAUAAAGAUGAAAAUGCCUUAAGUCGUCCCAAAUGUUCAUCUACCUCGGUGGUCCAGUGGGCUUUUUCGCGGCUUACUUUAUGGACUUUCGUUUUAGUUCGAAUGUCUCAGCGACUCUAAACAAAACGUGCAAAGAAAAAAAUACACAAUGAUCGCUGAUGAUCAGUUGCCCAAAAAAUUAAAGCUGGGAAAGUUGUGGACUAAAAAAACUGUCAGUGCUUCAUUACAAGGGAUGAUGCAAUUUCUAUCUUAUUGAUAGAAAAGGUGGCCUACUAAAGAAUAAUGGAAUCAUGUGAUCCCAAUAAAAUUGAUAUAUUGUUCUCUUUUAGUGUAUAUUAUAGUAUAUGAUUGGAUUUGAGGGAAUAGUUGUGGAAAGUCACUCUUGACUCCAUCAGAUAUGAUUUGCUCUUCCAUAUUCCCACUAGUUCAUUUAUAUAAAAUAGAAUAUCAUACAAAUAUUAUUUUAAUUAAGAAUUAUAUUAUGGCCCCAACCAAAAAUUGUUUCCGAGUGAUGCGAAAAAGAAUCAAUACACAAUCAACUUAUACAAAGAAACAAUGUAAUUACCAUUAGACGUGCAUGUUUGAUAUAUAUGUUAAGUACCUCAUAUUUAAAUUAAUAUGUGGCCUGUAGUAAUACACAGAAAAGGAUCAAUAAACAUUAAUUGCUAAAUGAUUUUAAGCUAGAGAUUUAUGAAACUUAAUAUUAUAUAUAUAUAUAUAUAUAUAUAUAGAAUCAAAUAGCAAAGAUACAUUAACUCUCAACAAUCCAAAUAUUUAGUUAGUGGAUAUACAAAAUUAAUAAUUUGCAUUGGACAAAAUUUAGAACUAUUGAGAUGCUCAUAGCGUAUAAAUUUAUAAUACAAUUUUGUCACAUUAAUCUGAAACAAUACAAACAUAGUAUAAAGAGAGUAAACGGAGGUGCUUUAUUAUAUCUCAAAUCCUCUUCAUUCAAACCAUAUUAAACGGAUAACCUAGAGCCGUUAUUGUUGGUGUUAUUAUCAUUAGUAUUGUAUUUAUCUUCGUUUUGGAUCGGAGGACACAUUGUUGCUGCUGCUUUCAUUUCUUU